CCAAACUUGGUCAUUUAGAGGAAGUAAAAGUCGUAACAAGGUUUCCGUAGGUGAACCUGCGGAAGGAUCAUUAUUGAAUUUAAUGAAGAGUUUGGUUGUAGCUGGCCCAAUAAAUAAAUAAAUAAAUAAAUUUGGGCAUGUGCACACUUUUCUCUUUCAUCCAAUAUACACCUGUGCACUUGUGAGACAGAUUUAGGGGAACUUUUAAUUUUUUUUUGAAGGGGACCCUGCUGUCUACUUAAUUUAUAUAAACUCAAUUUAUUUUAAAAUGAAUGUAAUGGAUGUAACGCAUCUAAUACUAAGUUUCAACAACGGAUCUCUUGGCUCUCGCAUCGAUGAAGAACGCAGC
This 349-nucleotide unclassified non-coding RNA is filed under the name uncultured fungus. RNAcentral's name for it is "partial contains small subunit ribosomal RNA, internal transcribed spacer 1, and 5.8S ribosomal RNA". The stretch from base 1 to 73 matches the Rfam family "Eukaryotic small subunit ribosomal RNA", at positions 1759 to 1831 of the family's 1831-position model. The record is from RNAcentral. Lineage: Eukaryota; Fungi.